GAAUUUAUGAAUCUCUGAAUAUUUGAUUGUGACUAAAGGAGAGCAACAAUUGCAACAGUGUCACGUCGAUCUAUCAAAUGAACGAACUUUUGAAGAAUCCAAUAUUUGCAACACAUGCAGUUGUUGCUGCAGGAUCUGCUACAUUAGCCACUGCUAUCAGUUACCCUCUAGAUAGUCUUAAGGUCCUUGUACAGGUGGGAUCAGGUAGCAGUAAACAACUCACUGGUG
This 228-nucleotide unclassified non-coding RNA is filed under the name Hevea brasiliensis (rubber tree). The record is from RNAcentral. Lineage: Eukaryota; Viridiplantae; Streptophyta; Magnoliopsida; Malpighiales; Euphorbiaceae.